Molecule: non-coding RNA, 479 nt
Organism: Penaeus vannamei (Pacific white shrimp)
Lineage: Eukaryota; Metazoa; Arthropoda; Malacostraca; Decapoda; Penaeidae
Source: RefSeq, a predicted model, not a curated record
CACCAUAGCCUCACCAUCACCACACCGUCACCAUGACCGGCUUAGUGCAACGUGUGGCUUCCUUACUCUACCUCGUGAGUCCGAAUGCAACCACAUACCAGCAUGAAGACGAAAUCCCGAAUUAUGUUAAUGAGGCAGUUCCAUUAUUCCUCGCCUUUAUUCUCCUCCUCGAGCAGCAGUUCGCUACUCGCUGGGAAGGGAAGUGAGAGCGAACGAAAGUCUGGCGUCCAUUGGCGUCGGGAUCCUCCACGAAGCCACGGGGUUCCUCACCGUGGGCUUCAUCCUGCUAGGAUACGAGUGGCUGUACCAGUGGCGGAUCCUGGACUGGGCUUGGGACUCGCUCGUCACCUGGUGGGCAUCGCUCCUACUGGUUGACAUGUGCUACUACUGGGUCCAUCGCGCUAACCAUGGUAAUUGAUGGUCGUUGGGGUGGUUGGGUGGUCGUCUCUUGGUUCUUGGGUUGUUCAUCGCGCUAAAAU